GAUGAAGAACGUAGCGAAAUGCGAUAAGUAAUGUGAAUUGCAGAAUUCAGUGAAUCAUCGAAUCUUUGAACGCAUCUUGCGCUCCUUGGUAUUCCGAGGAGCAUGCCUGUUUGAGUGUCAUCAAGUUCUCAAACUGCAUCCAUUUGAAGGGUGUGGAUUUGGAUUAUGGAGUUUGCAGGCUCUUUGAUUGAGGUCUGCUCCUCUGAAAUGUAUUAGUGGCGAUGUGGAAAAGCUACUGUGGGUGUGAUAAAUAUCUAUGCCUUAUGCAGUGUUCUGCUAUGCCGCUUGCAGGGAGAAAUUUCAUUUUUGACAAACUUGACCUCAAAUCAGGUAGGACUACCCGCUGAACUUAAGCAUAUCAAUAAGCGGAGG
Molecule: unclassified non-coding RNA, 372 nt
Filed under: soil metagenome
Description: partial contains 5.8S ribosomal RNA, internal transcribed spacer 2, and large subunit ribosomal RNA
Rfam family: 5.8S ribosomal RNA (bases 1-120)
Source: RNAcentral